AACGGGUGAGUAAUGCAUCGGAACGUGCCCAGUAGUGGGGGAUAGCCCGGCGAAAGCCGGAUUAAUACCGCAUACGACCUACGGGUGAAAGCGGGGGACCGCAAGGCCUCGCGCUAUUGGAGCGGCCGAUGUCAGAUUAGGUAGUUGGUGGGGUAAAGGCCUACCAAGCCUGCGAUCUGUAGCUGGUCUGAGAGGACGACCAGCCACACUGGGACUGAGACACGGCCCAGACUCCUACGGGAGGCAGCAGUGGGGAAUUUUGGACAAUGGGCGCAAGCCUGAUCCAGCCAUGCCGCGUGCGGGAAGAAGGCCUUCGGGUUGUAAACCGCUUUUGUCAGGGAAGAAAUCUUCUGGGUUAAUACCUCGGGAGGAUGACGGUACCUGAAGAAUAAGCACCGGCUAACUACGUGCCAGCAGCCGCGGUAAUACGUAGGGUGCAAGCGUUAAUCGGAAUUACUGGGCGUAAAGCGUGCGCAGGCGGUUAUGUAAGACAGAUGUGAAAUCCCCGGGCUUAACCUGGGAACUGCAUUUGUGACUGCAUAGCUUGAGUGCGGCAGAGGGGGAUGGAAUUCCGCGUGUAGCAGUGAAAUGCGUAGAUAUGCGGAGGAACACCGAUGGCGAAGGCAAUCCCCUGGGCCUGCACUGACGCUCAUGCACGAAAGCGUGGGGAGCAAAAACAGGAUAAAUACCCGGUAGUCCACGCCCUAAACGAUGUCAACUGGUUGUUGG
Molecule: ribosomal RNA, 729 nt
Filed under: Rubrivivax sp. MV12(sed)
Lineage: Bacteria; Pseudomonadati; Pseudomonadota; Betaproteobacteria; Burkholderiales; Sphaerotilaceae
Description: bacterial SSU rRNA
Rfam family: Bacterial small subunit ribosomal RNA
Source: RNAcentral